AUUGAAAGCUGGCGUCCGGCCUAACACACGCGAGUCGAGCGGAGCGGCGGACUGGUGAGUAAUGCAUACGAAUCUGCCUGGUAGUGGGGGAUAACGUCAGGAAACGGGCGCUAAUAAAGCAUACUAUCAGAUGAGCCUAGGUCGGAUUAGCUAGUUGGUGGGGGAAAGGACUACCAAGGCGACGAUCCGUAAAUGGUCUGGGAGGAUGAUCAGUCACACGGGAAUUGGGACACGGUCCAGACUCCUACGGGAGGCAGCAGGUGGGAAUAUUGGACAAUGGGCGAAAGCCUGAUCCAGCCAUGCCGAGUGUGUUAAGAAGGUCUUCGGAUUGUAGAGCACUUUAAGUUGUGAGGCGUUACCAUCAGGAUGAGCACCGGCUAACUUCGGGCCAGGCGCCGCGGUAAUAG
RNAcentral lists this ribosomal RNA (407 nucleotides) under uncultured bacterium. Its description in RNAcentral is "partial 16S ribosomal RNA". It matches the Rfam family "Bacterial small subunit ribosomal RNA", at positions 30 to 526 of the family's 1533-position model. The record is from RNAcentral.